RNAcentral lists this long non-coding RNA (1170 nucleotides) under Nicotiana benthamiana. RNAcentral's name for it is "long non-coding RNA (NBEN_LNC028328)". Lineage: Eukaryota; Viridiplantae; Streptophyta; Magnoliopsida; Solanales; Solanaceae. The record is from RNAcentral.
GUGGGAGUAUACUGGGUAGUUGUUGUUGUUGUUGUUUUUUAAAGAAAUAAAAGGACUUUCAAGAUGAAUUUCCAAGGUAUCUCUUCGUCCCAUUUGAUUCUUUUAAGAAAAGAAAACAUUUACUAUUUAAACAUUUUCUGGGUAUUAAGUUCUUCCAUUAAAGAAGGUAUUUUAUCAGAAUUCUAGCAUUAAAUUAUGAGCUAAGCUAAUGGAAAGUGAUAAUAAAUGUGUUAUUCGGGCUCAAGUUGAUCACACUUAUUCUGGUAAAACUAUUUCUUUCAAUUGACAAUAUAUCGACAGGUAUUCAUACCAGCAAAUUUGACCAAAAAUACAGCCUUUCUCAUCAUAUAAUCUCAACGGAAUUCUAAUUCAGAAAUCCAAGCUUGUAUCGGGAGAAUUUUAUCAGAUUAAAGACCCAUUGGUGGAUCCUCCAAAAAUGCAUCAAAACUAUCACUAAAGAUCCAUUAACCAGUACCACAACUAAGUAAGAAACACACCCAUUCUGAACAUUAAACCAAGAUCGACACUUUUUUUAAAAACAACUGACUGGAACAUAUUAUUAGCCUCAAACUUCAAUAAACUAAUUCUCAACCCCAGUAGUUCCAUUUUGCUAUAUGAAUCAUCUAUAUUCAUUCUGCUCUAUUUGGAACCCGUUUCACCCCAAUUAAGGUCCAAUUUUAUUAGAGGAAAUAAAAAAACCAAAAACAUAAUGAAGUAGGGAGAAAAAAAAAAGGAACUCACUAUCAAGAUAGCUAGCAAGAGAAGUAGAGGUAUAGAUAUCCUCCGGACUUGCCCAAGACAUUGUUGUGCAGGUUUUUCGGUGGCCCAAAAAUAACCGAAAAAUCUCCCAAUUUCAAAUCAAAUUGCAUUGGCAGCUUAAAAUUACCUUCUUGUACACCCCUAACAAGCACUUCACUCAAACACAAAAUAAACCCGAAUUCAAAAACCCUGACUCGUUAAUAUAUAUGGGGAACUUUGAAAGGAAUAAACUUGUUGACUUUUGGGCGUUUUCAGAUCUGAAAAUCCCUAGCCCUAAUUUUGGCAUAUCCCCAAAUAUAGGGCGGAGGUACACAGAACGUGAGAAGUCAUAUAGUGUUUGUGUUUCUCUUAUGUAGGUAUUUUUGUUUAUAUAACAUACUUCCAACAUUCUAAAAGAUCAUUUUGAUAUUC